AAACUUAAGAGUUUGAUCCUGGCUCAGAACGAACGCUGGCGGCAGGCCUAACACAUGCAAGUCGAACGGACCCUUCGGGGUUAGUGGCGCACGGGUGCGGAACACGUGGGAAUGUACCCUUGGGUAAGGAAUAAUAUCUGGAAACGGAUACUAAUACCUUAUAAUGACUUCGGUCCAAAGAUUUAUCGCCCAAGGAUCAGCCCGCGUCUGAUUAGUUUGUUGGUGGGGUAAUGGCCUACCAAGACUACGAUCAGUAGGGGGUCUGAGAGGAUGAUCCCCCACACUGGUACUGAGACACGGACCAGACUCCUACGGGAGGCAGCAGUGAGGAAUAUUGCACAAUGGAGGAAACUCUGAUGCAGCCAUGCCGCGUGAGUGAAGAAGGCCUUAGGGUUGUAAAGCUCUUUCAAUUGUGAAGAUUAUGACGGUAGCAAUAGAAGAAGCCCCGGCUAAAUUCGUGCCAGCAGCCGCGGUAAUACGAAUGGGGCAAGCGUUGUUCGGAAUCACUGGGCUUAAAGCGUGCGCAGGCGGACUUGAAAGUCAGAAGUGAAAUCCCGGGGCUCAACCCCGGAACUGCUUUUGAAACUCCAAGUCUAGAAUUCAGUAGAGGUUAGGAGAAUUCCGAGUGUAGAGGUGAAAUUCGCAGAUAUUCGGAGGAAUACCAGUGGCGUAGGCGCCUAACUGGACUGAUAUUGACGCUCAUGUACGAAAGCGUGGGGAGCAAACAGGAUUAGAUACCCUGGUAGUCCACGCCGUAAACGAUGUGUGCUAGUUGUCGGAACCUUAAGGUUUCGGUGACGUAGGGAAACCAUUAAGCACACCGCCUGGGGAGUACGGCCGCAAGGUUAAAACUCAAAGGAAUUGACGGGGACCCGCACAAGCGGUGGAGCAUGUUCUUUAAUUCGAAGCAACGCGAAGAACCUUACCCACACUUGACAUCCUUCUUGGGGCAUUCAGAGAUGAUUGCUUUCGGUUCGGCCGGGGAAGUGACAGGUGCUGCAUGGCU
RNAcentral lists this ribosomal RNA (1006 nucleotides) under Alphaproteobacteria bacterium. RNAcentral's name for it is "bacterial SSU rRNA". It matches the Rfam family "Bacterial small subunit ribosomal RNA", at positions 1 to 1050 of the family's 1533-position model. Lineage: Bacteria; Pseudomonadati; Pseudomonadota; Alphaproteobacteria. The record is from RNAcentral.